Molecule: ribosomal RNA, 495 nt
Filed under: uncultured bacterium
Lineage: Bacteria
Description: partial 16S ribosomal RNA
Rfam family: Bacterial small subunit ribosomal RNA
Source: RNAcentral
GACGAACGCUGGCGGCGUGCCUAAUACAUGCAAGUAGAACGCUGAAGGAGGAGCUUGCUCUUCUGGAUGAGUUGCGAACGGGUGAGUAACGCGUAGGUAACCUGCCUGGUAGUGGGGGAUAACUAUUGGAAACGAUAGCUAAUACCGCAUAAUAACAGUUGUUGCAUGACAACUGUUUGAAAGGUGCAAUUGCAUCACUACCAGAUGGACCUGCGUUGUAUUAGCUAGUUGGUGGGGUAACGGCUCACCAAGGCGACGAUACAUAGCCGACCUGAGAGGGUGAUCGGCCACACUGGGACUGAGACACGGCCCAGACUCCUACGGGAGGCAGCAGUAGGGAAUCUUCGGCAAUGGACGAAAGUCUGACCGAGCAACGCCGCGUGAGUGAAGAAGGUUUUCGGAUCGUAAAGCUCUGUUGUAAGAGAAGAACGAGUGUGAGAGUGGAAAGUUCACACUGUGACGGUAGCUUACCAGAAAGGGACGGCUAACUACGUG